This is a small nucleolar RNA of Mercenaria mercenaria, 79 nucleotides long. RefSeq annotates it as small nucleolar RNA SNORD79. The transcript has a single exon. The record is from RefSeq and is a predicted model, not a curated record. Lineage: Eukaryota; Metazoa; Mollusca; Bivalvia; Venerida; Veneridae.
UCCAGUAUGUGAUGAUUGCUUUGCAAUGGGAAUCUCUCUGAAACAAUGUAAAUGGAGAUAUGCAAUUUCUGAUACUGGA